UUGUGGUGGCUGAGUCGUGAGCUCACUCCCCAUGUCUGAUCUGAUUUGUGUUUCUUUGUUUUCUUUUAGACCCUGGAGUAAGUGACCUGUAAAUAGUCACACUGGAGGUUUUCUAAAGGCCUUCCUUGCUUCUGUGACAGUGUAUGGACAUUGACAUUGGGAAGCCCAGCAGACAAAAGACGGAGAAUAGGGACCACCACAGCUAAAGAAGAGAGAGAAGAAUAUGCCAUGGCUGAGGGGAUGAUUGCUUCUCAAAGUGGUAAGCAGCAAACAUUUACAGUCUCUUAGCUGUUUUGUUCCAAAUUCCAUUUUGAACGUUUUCAUUACUUUUGCGUCAGGCAGAGAGAAA
RNAcentral lists this long non-coding RNA (349 nucleotides) under Cottoperca gobio. RNAcentral describes it as "lncRNA (ENSCGOG00000009459.1)". Lineage: Eukaryota; Metazoa; Chordata; Actinopteri; Perciformes; Bovichtidae. The record is from RNAcentral.